AAUAAACACAUGAGCCAAUAAGUAGGCGUUUAAAACAGCAGAUACAGAUAUAGAUAGGCACUUGUACCUUGGCAGAUAGUGGUCUACAUGCCAUCCACUUUCACAUUCUCGUUGGGGAAUAAAGCAAGUUUGUCCUUGUUUCCAAAUGCAACACAUCUGCAUUUGUUCAGGAACACAUUCAUUUCAUCCAUCCAUCCAUCCAUCCAUCCAUCCAUCCAUCCAUCAUUCUUUUCCACCUCUGUUGCCUUUCCCAUAGCCUAAUUUAGAUUGUAAGCGCCUUGUGGGAAGAGACCUGCCUAUUAUUUAUUCGGCGUGUAAAAACUCUGUAAAAGCAUCACAUAGUUGCUUAAAUAAUUAAUAGUGUUGUUGAAGACAAUUAGGAAACAGACCCAUUUGCACAGAUGGGUUAUCUAUCUGUCUAUUUGUGUCUAUAUGUCUUUCAGUCUGUCUGUCUGUCUGUCUGUCUGUCUGUCAGUAUCUAUCAUUUCCCCCACAUGGUUUUAUCACAGAUUUUGACGGUGACACUUCCUUUGCUCUCUUAUCUCUCAUUAAAAGUUGUUUUGAAAAUCCAUGGUUCUUGCUGCAAAUGAACCCAGAUUAUUAACAUUUAUUCCAUGUGGGGCUUUGUUUUGUUUUGUUUUACCUCAGAAGACUGCAGCUUGUUAAGAGGAAGGUUGUUAAAUGGUUCUGUUCUUCUCCACAAGGCUCAUAGCAAGUGAAAAUUUCUUUAAAAAUUAAUUUCAGAAAGGAAAGUGAUCACGCUCUGUAGGUGCAAUGCUGCUGUAAUGUUCAUGCUGCCUAUAUGAUCCAUACCCAGGAGAUAAAAGUAAAAUCUGUGCCUAAACUCAUCCAAAUGGAAGGAACUGACAGCAAAGUCUCAAAGCAUGCUUUUUAAAACAGAGAAGCUGAUGUCUUUGCAAAAGAGAACAGCGGCAGCGACUUGUAAACCUACCAGUCAAUUUUUUAAAAGGACACAAUAGCCAUGCACCGAAGAUCCUCAGCAAGAGCUCACACUGCCCAUAGACUUCACUUGGAGGCAAAUGGUGAGUCAGGAUAUUCCUUGGGAGCAAGUGGGAUUUGCAAGAAAUAAGAAGACCUCCCCUGGACUGGAACAAAUGCCAUACAAUCCAGCAUUCUGUUUUAAACAUGAUCAAGCUGGACACCUCUGAAAGGGGGACCUGAAGGCAACUUUCCCUCCCUUGUUGUUUGUCACCAGCAUCUGUUCUUCAGAAGUACACAGAACUUUGAACUUGGCAGUUCCAUUUGGUUAUCAUGGGUGGUACCCAUUGCUGCUCCCUUUUUUAAAAAAUAAAAACAGUGACCAUAAGCAGAUCUUGUGGUACUGAAUAGAUUUUUUAAAAAAUCAAAUACAGAAAUACGGUGGUACCUCAGGUUAAGUACUUAAUUCGUUCCGGAGGUCCAUUCUUAACCUGAAACUGUUCUUAACCUGAAGCACCACUUUAGCUGAUGGGGCCUCCCGCUGCCGCCGCACCUCCAGAGCCCGAUUUCUGUUCUCAUCCUGAAGCAAAGUUCUUAACCUGAAGCACUAUUUCUGGGUUAGCGGAGUCUGUAACCUGAAGCGUAUGUAACCUGAGGUACCACUGUG
Podarcis raffonei (Aeolian wall lizard) is the source of this 1606-nucleotide long non-coding RNA. RefSeq lists it as uncharacterized. Lineage: Eukaryota; Metazoa; Chordata; Lepidosauria; Squamata; Lacertidae. The record is from RefSeq and is a predicted model, not a curated record. The transcript has 4 exons.